RNAcentral lists this ribosomal RNA (372 nucleotides) under uncultured organism. RNAcentral describes it as "bacterial SSU rRNA". It matches the Rfam family "Bacterial small subunit ribosomal RNA", at positions 526 to 896 of the family's 1533-position model. The record is from RNAcentral.
CGGAGGGUGCGAGCGUUGUCCGGAAUCACUGGGCGUAAAGGGCGCGUAGGCGGCGCGGGCAGUCAACGGUGAAAGCUCGGGGCUCAACUCCGAGUCGGCCGUCGAUACUCCCGGGCUCGAGCACUGUAGAGGCAGGUGGAAUUCCGGGUGUAGCGGUGGAAUGCGUAGAGAUCCGGAAGAACACCGGUGGCGAAGGCGGCCUGCUGGGCAGUAGCUGACGCUGAGGCGCGACAGCGUGGGGAGCAAACAGGAUUAGAUACCCUGGUAGUCCACGCCGUAAACGAUGGGCACUAGGUGCUUGGGGGAGCGACCCCCUGAGUGCCGGCGCUAACGCAUUAAGUGCCCCGCCUGGGGAGUACGGCCGCAAGGCUG